AAAUUGAAGAGUUUGAUCAUGGCUCAGAUUGAACGCUGGCGGCAGGCCUAACACAUGCAAGUCGAACGGUAACAGGAAGCAGCUUGCUGCUUCGCUGACGAGUGGCGGACGGGUGAGUAAUGUCUGGGAAACUGCCUGAUGGAGGGGGAUAACUACUGGAAACGGUAGCUAAUACCGCAUAAUGUCGCAAGACCAAAGAGGGGGACCUUCGGGCCUCUUGCCAUCGGAUGUGCCCAGAUGGGAUUAGCUAGUAGGUGGGGUAACGGCUCACCUAGGCGACGAUCCCUAGCUGGUCUGAGAGGAUGACCAGCCACACUGGAACUGAGACACGGUCCAGACUCCUACGGGAGGCAGCAGUGGGGAAUAUUGCACAAUGGGCGCAAGCCUGAUGCAGCCAUGCCGCGUGUAUGAAGAAGGCCUUCGGGUUGUAAAGUACUUUCAGCGGGGAGGAAGGGAGUAAAGUUAAUACCUUUGCUCAUUGACGUUACCCGCAGAAGAAGCACCGGCUAACUCCGUGCCAGCAGCCGCGGUAAUACGGAGGGUGCAAGCGUUAAUCGGAAUUACUGGGCGUAAAGCGCACGCAGGCGGUUUGUUAAGUCAGAUGUGAAAUC
Molecule: ribosomal RNA, 611 nt
Filed under: Shigella sonnei
Lineage: Bacteria; Pseudomonadati; Pseudomonadota; Gammaproteobacteria; Enterobacterales; Enterobacteriaceae
Description: bacterial SSU rRNA
Rfam family: Bacterial small subunit ribosomal RNA
Source: RNAcentral